RNAcentral lists this ribosomal RNA (435 nucleotides) under uncultured bacterium. RNAcentral's name for it is "partial 16S ribosomal RNA". It matches the Rfam family "Bacterial small subunit ribosomal RNA", at positions 29 to 507 of the family's 1533-position model. The record is from RNAcentral.
AACGAACGCUGGCGGCAGGCCUAACACAUGCAAGUCGAGCGGACAUCUUCGGAUGUUAGCGGCGGACGGGUGAGUAACGCGUGGGAACGUGCCCUUUGCUUCGGAAUAGCCUCGGGAAACUGGGAGUAAUACCGGAUGUACCCUUUGGGGGAAAGAUUUAUCGGCAAAGGAUCGGCCCGCGUUGGAUUAGGUAGUUGGUGGGGUAAUGGCCUACCAAGCCGACGAUCCAUAGCUGGUUUGAGAGGAUGAUCAGCCACACUGGGACUGAGACACGGCCCAGACUCCUACGGGAGGCAGCAGUGGGUAAUCUUAGACAAUGGGGGAAACCCUGAUCUAGCCAUGCCGCGUGAGCGAUGAAGGCCUUAGGGUUGUAAAGCUCUUUCACCGGGGAAGAUAAUGACGGUACCCGGAGAAGAAGCCCCGGCUAACUCCGUG